This 272-nucleotide long non-coding RNA is filed under the name Elaeis guineensis (African oil palm). Its description in RNAcentral is "long non-coding RNA (EGUI_LNC031230)". Lineage: Eukaryota; Viridiplantae; Streptophyta; Magnoliopsida; Arecales; Arecaceae. The record is from RNAcentral.
UGGGAAAAGAUGACCAAGGAUGGAGCUCCCCAGGAGGGUUAGCUGUGGGGCAGAGGUCAGGAAGAAGAAAAGAAAGAGGCAAGUCAAGGAGACGAUCAAAGUUCCAGAAGAAUAGCAGCAAGAAAGAGGCUCGAUGCUACAAGUGCAAUGAGAUCGGGCACUUCAAGCGAGAUUGCCCGCAGUGGAAGAGCAAGAAGAGAAACAAGGGAGGAUCUGAUGUGCUGAGUACGAUAGCUGAUCAAGAGGUGGAGGAUGACCUUUUGGUGGUAUCC